UGCUAUAGAAGAGGAAGUUCCUCUUUAGGAGCAACUCAUCGAAUUAGAUCAAGGUAGCAAAACUGAAUUGCGCAUAUUCUAGAGUUUUUUAAGAGUUCAACAUUAUGCCAUUCGAUAAGUAUUUGGACCUAAAACUUUUUAUUUCAGCUCAAACUUCUGAAGAAAAGGAAGAUAUGUGUGCUGGUGAAACUGAGCAACCAACAAUGGAGGAAAAGGUCGAAGAAAGUGAAGAUACUGACAACAACGCCUCUGAAUCUUCAAAAUGUCACGUUCCUUGAAUAGAAGAACAAUAGGAGGCAAUCCAAAACAACUCUUCCCCUAACAAGAUUGCAAGUGGAGGGGGUGAUACUUAACUCCCAUCUCGAUUGAAUCAUUCACUUAAUAUCGAACAAAGUGCACCUAUUCUUGCAACUUCCAUAGCACAAUCAAG
RNAcentral lists this long non-coding RNA (430 nucleotides) under Glycine max (soybean). RNAcentral's name for it is "long non-coding RNA (GMAX_LNC003262)". Lineage: Eukaryota; Viridiplantae; Streptophyta; Magnoliopsida; Fabales; Fabaceae. The record is from RNAcentral.